GACAGAUCUAGGUGCUGCUGUAGGCUUUCCUUGGUUGGGGACAGAUCUAGGUGCUGCUGUAGGCUUUCCUUGGUUGGUGACAGAUCUAGGUGCUGCUGUAGGCUUUCCUUGGUUGGGGACAGAUCUAGGUGCUGCUGUAGGCCCUCCUUGGUUGGGGACAGAUCUAGGUGCUGCUGUAGGCCCUCCUUGGUUGGGGACAGAUCUAGGUGCUGCUGUAGGCCCUCCUUGGUUGGGGACAGAUCUAGGUGCUGCUGUAGGCCCUCCUUGGUUGGUGACAGAUCUAGGUGCUGCUGUAGGCCCUCCUUGGUUGGUGACAGAUCUAGGUGCUGCUGUAGGCCCUCCUUGGUUGGGGACAGAUCUAGGUGCUGCUGUAGACCCUCCUUGGUUGGGAACAGAUCUAGGUGCUGCUGUAGGUCCUCCUUGGUUGAGGACAGAUCUAGGUGCUGCUGUAGGCCCUCCUUGGUUGGGGACAGAUCUAGGUGCUGCUGUAGGCCCUCCUUGGUUGGGGACAGAUCUAGGUGCUGCUGUAGGCCCUCCUUGGUUGGGAACAGAUCUAGGUGUUGCUGUAGGUCCUCCUUGGUUGGGGACAGAUCUAGGUGCUGCUGUAGGCCCUCCUUGGUUGGUGACAGAUCUAGAUGCUGCUGUAGGCCCUCCUUGGUUGGGGACAGAUCUAGGUGCUGCUGUAGGCCCUCCUUGGUUGGGGACAGAUCUAGGUGCUGCUGUAGGCUUUCCUUGGUUGGGGACAGAUCUAGGUGCUGCUGUAGGCUUUCCUUGGUUGGUGACAGAUCUAGGUGCUGCUGUAGGCUUUUCUUGG
Molecule: long non-coding RNA, 814 nt
Organism: Oncorhynchus keta (chum salmon)
Lineage: Eukaryota; Metazoa; Chordata; Actinopteri; Salmoniformes; Salmonidae
Exons: 4
Source: RefSeq, a predicted model, not a curated record